This 433-nucleotide ribosomal RNA is filed under the name uncultured bacterium. RNAcentral's name for it is "partial 16S ribosomal RNA". It matches the Rfam family "Bacterial small subunit ribosomal RNA", at positions 29 to 507 of the family's 1533-position model. The record is from RNAcentral.
AACGAACGCUGGCGGCAUGCCUAACACAUGCAAGUCGAACGAGACCUUCGGGCCUAGUGGCGCACGGGUGCGUAACGCGGGGGAACCUGCCCUUAGGUUCGGAAUAACUCCCCGAAAGGGGUGCUAAUACCGGCUAAUGUCCUCGGACCAAAGAUUUAUCGCCUUUGGAUGGGCCUGCGUUGGAUUAGCUAGUUGGUAGGGUAAAAGCGUACCAAGGCGACGAUCCAUAGCUGGUCUGAGAGGAGGAUCAGCCACACUGGGACUGAGACGCGGCCCAGACUACUACGGGAGGCAGCAGUGGGGAAUAUUGGACAAUGGGCGAAAGCCUGAUCCAGCAAUGCCGCGUGAGUGAUGAAGGCCUUAGGGUUGUAAAGCUCUUUUACCCGGGAUGAUAAUGACAGUACCGGGAGAAUAAGCUCCGGCUAACUCCGUG